This 468-nucleotide ribosomal RNA is filed under the name uncultured bacterium. RNAcentral's name for it is "partial 16S ribosomal RNA". It matches the Rfam family "Bacterial small subunit ribosomal RNA", at positions 28 to 507 of the family's 1533-position model. The record is from RNAcentral.
GACGAACGCUGGCGGCGUGCUUAACACAUGCAAGUCGAACGGAAAGGCCCUGCUUUUGUGGGGUGCUCGAGUGGCGAACGGGUGAGUAACACGUGAGUAACCUGCCCUUCACUUUGGGAUAACUUCAGGAAACUGGGGCUAAUACCGGAUAGGAGCUCCUGCUGCAUGGUGGGGGGUGGAAAGUUUCGGCGGUUGGGGAUCGACCCGCGGCUUAUCUGCUUGUUGGUGGGGUAGUGGCUUACCAAGGCCUUGACGGGUAGCCGGCCUGAGAGGGUGACCGGCCACAUUGGGACUGAGAUACGGCCCAGACUCCUACGGGAGGCAGCAGUGGGGAAUAUUGCACAAUGGGCGGAAGCCUGAUGCAGCGACGCCGCGUGCGGGAUGACGGCCUUCGGGUUGUAAACCGCUUUCGCCUGUGACGAAGCGUGAGUGACGGUAAUGGGUAAAGAAGCACCGGCUAACUACGUG